CAGAGUGAACGCUGGCGGCGUGCUUAACACAUGCAAGUCGAACGAUGAUAGAGAGCUUGCUCUCUAGAUUAGUGGCGCACGGGUGAGUAAUGCAUAGAUACUGUGCCCCUUAGUUCGGGAUAGCCACUGGAAACGGUGAUUAAUACCGGAUACUCCUUCUUGUUAUAAGACAAGUCGGGAAAGUUUUUCGCUAAGGGAUCAGUCUAUGUUCCAUCAGCUUGUUGGUGAGGUAAUGGCUCACCAAGGCUAUGACGGAUAUCUGGUUUGAGAGGAUGAUCAGACACACUGGAACUGAGACACGGUCCAGACUCCUACGGGAGGCAGCAGUGAGGAAUAUUGCACAAUGGAGGAAACUCUGAUGCAGCAACGCCGCGUGGAGGAUGACGCAUUUCGGUGUGUAAACUCCUUUUAUUAGGGAAGAUAAUGACGGUACCUAAUGAAUAAGCACCGGCUAACUCCGUGCCAGCAGCCGCGGUAAUACGGAGGGUGCAAGCGUUACUCGGAAUCACUGGGCGUAAAGGGUGCGUAGGCUGGCUUUUAAGUCAGAUGUGAAAUCCAAUGGCUCAACCAUUGAACUGCAUUUGAAACUGAAAGCCUAGAGUUCAGAAGGGGCAGAUGGAAUUAGUGGUGUAGGGGUAAAAUCCGUAGAUAUCACUAGGAAUAUCAAAAGCGAAGGCGAUCUGCUGGGAUGAUACUGACGCAGAGUGAACGCUGGCGGCGUGCUUAACACAUGCAAGUCGAACGAUGAUAGAGAGCUUGCUCUCUAGAUUAGUGGCGCACGGGUGAGUAAUGCAUAGAUACUGUGCCCCUUAGUUCGGGAUAGCCACUGGAAACGGUGAUUAAUACCGGAUACUCCUUCUUGUUAUAAGACAAGUCGGGAAAGUUUUUCGCUAAGGGAUCAGUCUAUGUUCCAUCAGCUUGUUGGUGAGGUAAUGGCUCACCAAGGCUAUGACGGAUAUCUGGUUUGAGAGGAUGAUCAGACACACUGGAACUGAGACACGGUCCAGACUCCUACGGGAGGCAGCAGUGAGGAAUAUUGCACAAUGGAGGAAACUCUGAUGCAGCAACGCCGCGUGGAGGAUGACGCAUUUCGGUGUGUAAACUCCUUUUAUUAGGGAAGAUAAUGACGGUACCUAAUGAAUAAGCACCGGCUAACUCCGUGCCAGCAGCCGCGGUAAUACGGAGGGUGCAAGCGUUACUCGGAAUCACUGGGCGUAAAGGGUGCGUAGGCUGGCUUUUAAGUCAGAUGUGAAAUCCAAUGGCUCAACCAUUGAACUGCAUUUGAAACUGAAAGCCUAGAGUUCAGAAGGGGCAGAUGGAAUUAGUGGUGUAGGGGUAAAAUCCGUAGAUAUCACUAGGAAUAUCAAAAGCGAAGGCGAUCUGCUGGGAUGAUACUGACG
This 1400-nucleotide ribosomal RNA is filed under the name uncultured bacterium. Its description in RNAcentral is "bacterial SSU rRNA". The stretch from base 678 to 1400 matches the Rfam family "Bacterial small subunit ribosomal RNA", at positions 1 to 745 of the family's 1533-position model. The record is from RNAcentral.